UUCCGGUUGAUCCUGCCGGACCCGACUGCUAUCAGAGUGAGAUUAAGCCAUGCGAGUUAACGUAGCAAUACGUGGCGCACGGCUCAGUAACACGUAGUCAACAUGCCCAGAGGACGUGGAUAACCUCGGGAAACUGAGUCUAAACCGCGAUAAGUGAGGAUUUCUGGAAUGGUUCCUGACUAAAAUCUAUAAGGCCUCUGGAUUGGACUGCGGCCGAUCAGGCUGUUGGUGAGGUAAUGGCCCACCAAACCUGUAACCGGUACGGGCUCUGAGAGGAGGAGCCCGGAGAUGGGCACUGAGACAAGGGCCCAGGCCCUAUGGGGCGCAGCAGGCGCGAAACCUCUGCAAUAGGCGAAAGCCUGACAGGGUUACUCUGAGUGACUUUCGCUAAGAAAGUCUUUUGGCACCUCUAAAAAGGGUGCAGAAUAAGGGGUGGGCAAGUCUGGUGUCAGCCGCCGCGGUAAUACCAGCACCCCGAGUGGUCGGGACGAUUAUUGGGCCUAAAGCAUCCGUAGCCGGUUCUGCAAGUCUUCCGUUAAAUCCAGCCGCUCAACGGAUGGGCCGCGGAGGAUACUACAGGACUAGGAGGCGGGAGAGGCAAGCGGUACUUAGUGGGUAGGGGUAAAAUCCUUUGAUCCAUUGAAGACCACCAGUGGCGAAGGCGGCUUGCCAGAACGCGCUCGACGGUGAGGGAUGAAAGCUGGGGGAGCAAACCGGAUUAGAUACCCGGGUAGUCCCAG
RNAcentral lists this ribosomal RNA (740 nucleotides) under uncultured archaeon. RNAcentral's name for it is "bacterial SSU rRNA". It matches the Rfam family "Archaeal small subunit ribosomal RNA", at positions 1 to 750 of the family's 1478-position model. The record is from RNAcentral.